RNAcentral lists this ribosomal RNA (664 nucleotides) under Colias erate poliographus. RNAcentral describes it as "partial 16S ribosomal RNA". The record is from RNAcentral. Lineage: Eukaryota; Metazoa; Arthropoda; Insecta; Lepidoptera; Pieridae.
UGGGGGUAAAUUAAUAUAAUAAAAUAAAUAAUAAAAAUAAUUAUAAAAAAUAAUUAAUGGGGGUUAAAGUAUUUUUUAGAAAAAAAUUUAUUAAUUUAUAGUUUAAUAGUAUUGUGAAAGAAUUUUGAAAUAAAGUUAAAAAUUAAUUAUUAUAUAAGUAAAUUUAGUUUAUUGUAUCUUGUGUAUCAGAGUUUAUUAAAAAGUAUUUUUAAAUGAAAAUAUCUCGAAUUUAAAAGAGAUAAUUAAUUAUUAAAGUUAAUGUGACAUAAUUAUUUUAAAUAAUUAAUUUGAAAUGAAAUGUUAAUCGUUUUUAAAAAUAUCUAGUUUUUUUAGAAAAAAAUUUAAUUUUAAAUUAAUUUAAUAAUUUUUUUUAAAUUUAUUAUAUAAAAUUAUAUAUUUAAUUAAAUAUUUUAGGGGAUAAGCUUUAAAUUAAAUUUUUAUAAUAAUUAAUAAAUUAUUUAAAUAUUUUAAAAUUUAUAUUUUUUAUAAAUUAUAAUUUUUUAUAAAUAAUUUUAUUUAUUUUAAAAUUUAAAUUUAUAUUUAAAUUUAUAUAAAAAAAUAAUUUUUAAUAAUAAAAAAUUAGUUAUAAUGAUAAAAUUAGUAUAUAAAAAAAAAAAAUGAAAUAUAAUUAAUUAAAAUUAAUAAAAAGGAAUUCGGCAAAAAU